Non-coding RNA from Parelaphostrongylus tenuis, 78 nucleotides. The record is from the annotation of a GenBank genome assembly. NCBI's taxonomy places the organism in Eukaryota, Metazoa, Nematoda, Chromadorea, Rhabditida, Metastrongylidae.
GCCUCGGUGGUGCAAUCGGUUAGCGCGCGAAGCCCACAGGAAAAGGGUGGGAUGCGGGUUCAAUUCCCGCCUGACGCU